Molecule: ribosomal RNA, 468 nt
Filed under: uncultured bacterium
Lineage: Bacteria
Description: partial 16S ribosomal RNA
Rfam family: Bacterial small subunit ribosomal RNA
Source: RNAcentral
GACGAACGCUGGCGGCGUGCUUAACACAUGCAAGUCGAACGGAAAGGCCCUGCUUUUGUGGGGUGCUCGAGUGGCGAACGGGUGAGUAACACGUGAGUAACCUGCCCUUUACUUUUGGAUAACUUCAGGAAACUGGGGCUAAUACCGGAUAGGAACUCCUUCUUCCUGGUGGGGGUUGGAAAGGUUCGGCGGUUGGGGAUGGACUCGCGGCUUAUCAGCUUGUUGGUGGGGUAGUGGCUUACCAAGGCUUUGACGGGUAGCCGGCCUGAGAGGGUGACCGGCCACAUUGGGACUGAGAUACGGCCCAGACUCCUACGGGAGGCAGCAGUGGGGAAUAUUGCACAAUGGGCGGAAGCCUGAUGCAGCAACGCCGCGUGCGGGAUGACGGCCUUCGGGUUGUAAACCGCUUUCGCCUGUGACGAAGCGUGAGUGACGGUAAUGGGUAAAGAAGCACCGGCUAACUACGUG